AGGGUGGUCACACUGACCUUGCAGAGUUA
Molecule: non-coding RNA, 29 nt
Filed under: Homo sapiens (human)
Lineage: Eukaryota; Metazoa; Chordata; Mammalia; Primates; Hominidae
Source: RNAcentral